AGAGUUUGAUCAUGGCUCAGAUUGAACGCUGGCGGCAUGCUUUACACAUGCAAGUCGAGCGGCAGCGCGGGGGCAACCCUGGCGGCGAGCGGCGAACGGGUGAGUAAUGCAUCGGAACGUGUCCCGUAGUGGGGGAUAGCUCGGCGAAAGCCGGAUUAAUACCGCAUAUGCUCUACGGAGGAAAGUGGGGGACCCGCAAGGGCCUCACGCUAUGGGAGCGGCCGAUGCCCGAUUAGCUUGUUGGUGAGGUAAAGGCUUACCAAGGCGACGAUCGGUAGCUGGUCUGAGAGGAUGAUCAGCCACACUGGGACUGAGACACGGCCCAGACUCCUACGGGAGGCAGCAGUGGGGAAUUUUGGACAAUGGGGGAAACCCUGAUCCAGCCAUGCCGCGUGCGGGAAGAAGGCCUUCGGGUUGUAAACCGCUUUUGUCCGGGAAGAAAAGGUAUCCCCUAAUACGGGAUGCUCUUGACGGUACUGGAAGAAUAAGCACCGGCUAACUACGUGCCAGCAGCCGCGGUAAUACGUAGGGUGCGAGCGUUAAUCGGAAUUACUGGGCGUAAAGCGUGCGCAGGUGGUUCGUCAAGUCUGAUGUGAAAGCCCCGGGCUCAACCUGGGAAUGGCAUUGGAAACUAGCGGGCUGGAGUGUGGCAGAGGGGGGUGGAAUUCCACGUGUAGCAGUGAAAUGCGUAGAGAUGUGGAGGAACACCGAUGGCGAAGGCAGCCCCCUGGGCUAACACUGACGCUCAUGCACGAAAGCGUGGGGAGCAAACAGGAUUAGAUACCCUAGUAGUCC
Molecule: ribosomal RNA, 795 nt
Filed under: uncultured bacterium
Lineage: Bacteria
Description: bacterial SSU rRNA
Rfam family: Bacterial small subunit ribosomal RNA
Source: RNAcentral